GGUCAUAAGAGACAGGUGGAGGGGAAACAGGUUGAUAUUCCGGUACAACCGAUAACCGUUGGAGAGAAGGGAGCACAAAGUAGGAUAAGCUAAGCACAGUGUUGGUUAUGUGUGCCCAAGCAUUGAGGCAGUCAAAGGAGGCAAAUCCGCUUUGAUAAUGCUGGGAUGUGCUGGGGAGCGAAAUUUAGUAGCGAAGUAGCUGAUUUCACACUGUCAAGAAAAGUCUCUAUCGAGGUUAAAGGUACCCGUACCGCAAACCGACACAGGUGGGUGAGGAGAGUAUCCUAAGGCCAGCGAUAGAACUGUUGUUAAGGAUCUCGGCAAAAUGACCCCGUAACUUAGGGAUAAGGGGUGCCAUCAUCAGGUGGCCGCAGAGAAUAGGCCCAAGCGACUGUUUACCAAAAACAUAGGUUUCUGCUAAGUCGCAAGACGAUGUAUAGGAGCUGACGCCUGCCC
Molecule: ribosomal RNA, 456 nt
Filed under: Clostridioides difficile
Lineage: Bacteria; Bacillati; Bacillota; Clostridia; Peptostreptococcales; Peptostreptococcaceae
Description: bacterial LSU rRNA
Rfam family: Bacterial large subunit ribosomal RNA
Source: RNAcentral